Molecule: ribosomal RNA, 253 nt
Filed under: uncultured bacterium
Lineage: Bacteria
Description: partial 16S ribosomal RNA
Rfam family: Bacterial small subunit ribosomal RNA
Source: RNAcentral
UACGUAGGCAGCGAGCGUUGUUCGGAGUUACUGGGCGUAAAGGGUGUGUAGGCGGUCCCUUAAGUUUGGUGUGAAAUCUCCCGGCUCAACUGGGAGGGUGCGCCGGAUACUGAGGGGCUAGAGUGCGGGAAGGGAAAGUGGAAUUCCUGGUGUAGCGGUGAAAUACGUAGAUAUCAGGAGGAACACCGGUGGUGCAAACGGCUUUCUGGACCGUAACUGACGCUGAGACACGAAAGCGUGGGGAGCGAACAGG